AAGACAAAACUUGCUGUGUGUUUUUGUGUUUUUAAGAUGUAAAGCCCUUUUAAUUGCCUUGUUGCUCAAAUGUGCUAUACCAAUAAACUUGAUUGAUUGAUUG
Xiphophorus hellerii (green swordtail) is the source of this 103-nucleotide long non-coding RNA. RefSeq lists it as uncharacterized. The record is from RefSeq and is a predicted model, not a curated record. The transcript has 3 exons. NCBI's taxonomy places the organism in Eukaryota, Metazoa, Chordata, Actinopteri, Cyprinodontiformes, Poeciliidae.